GGAAUCUUCCACAAUGGGCGAAAGCCUGAUGGAGCAACGCCGCGUGCGUGAUGAAGGGUUUCGGCUCGUAAAACACUGUUGUAAGAGAAGAAUGACAUUGAGAGUAACUGUUCAAUGUGUGACGGUAUCUUACCAGAAAGGAACGGCUAAAUACGUGCCAG
Molecule: ribosomal RNA, 161 nt
Filed under: uncultured bacterium
Lineage: Bacteria
Description: partial 16S ribosomal RNA
Rfam family: Bacterial small subunit ribosomal RNA
Source: RNAcentral